GCUUCUCUGAAAAAUUCAAAUCGCCCUUACAUUUUUUGGAAGUCAAAAUAUCUUUGUCGACGUCUUGCCUUUGAAUCAAUAUAGUUGGCAUUCAGUGAUUUCUCCUUCCACUGAUAAGAAAAAGCUAUACUUUUAAAACAUUAUAAGAUCUAUUAAAAAACAUUUUUUUUUUUGCUUUCUAAAAAGACAAAGAACAACAACAACAAAAAUUCUGCCAUCAACAUUCUUUCUUUCCUUUUGGAAUAGCCUUCCUCUAACUGUUCAGUCUAACCCAGUCUAAAUUAAUGUUCAUCUUUACUGAGAGGCUUGACCAAUUUUACAAAUUCUAAAUUGCACGCUAUGUCAUUUAAAUUAAUACUUGUAGAACUUUUAUUCUUUUAUCUUUUUAAUUUGCAUAUAAAUUAUGUCUUUUAUUAACAGUUGUUCCCUGACAACGCGCCUGCUAGUCAUAACCAGAAUUAAUUGUCAAGUUGUAGAUGUAGAUAUAUAAUUCAUUGUUCCCAUGAAUUGCAAGACGGGCCUUAAAUUUGAUCACCUUUUACGUUCCUCCGCUGCAAAAUGUAGGGCUUAUGAGAGUUGCCCAUACUGUUUGGAUUUGUCAAUCAAUAUAUUUACCUUAUGAAUAAACUAUUUCUAAAAUCAAUUUUAACGUUAAAAUAAGUAUUUAGACAUCUAUACUUUGUUCUGAGAUCUUCAGAAUGAUUGUGUUUAUUUAUGAAUUACGUCAUAAUUAGACCGAAUAUUUCAUUCAGCUUCCGCGUAUUGAAACUACUUUCAAACUAAUCAUAUCAUAUAAAGCAUGUUAAAGGUGUCUAACUUUUUAAAAUAGCAAAUAAUUAAAUUGUUACAUUAAUUAUUCAUAUCAAAAUCGAAACUUUUUGUAUCAACAUUUAUAACGAUACAUUACUGUUGUCAGGCGUAUGAAUUCUACGCGCAUUAAUUUCGUUGUGACGCACGGAUAACUAUCCGCCCAAACGAACACACUCGACAUUCCAGAAAGGAACGCCGACAGCUGAGGAUGGAAAAUUAGACGCCAUUUUGGAAAAAUACGUAUCGUAGAUUUCUUUUUAUAUUUAAACUCUUAGGAGAGAGAUAUUUUGUUAAAAUGAAGGUUUUAAGUAAAGAAGGAAAGGAUAAUUUGACUGUUAAAUCGGAAUUAGGCGGUGCUAAAGUGUUACGAAAACUUAUUUUAAAAGCUGAAAAACGAAAAUCGUAUGCUGAAAAUUUUCAUAUUUACGCAGUAUUACAAUCGACAAUACGGAGGUUAAAGUUAGAUACUAAAUCGUUGAAAGUGAUUCGAAAUUGUAAAUUUGGAAACUCUGAAGAUAAAGGAAUGAAUCAAAACAGUAGAUCUAUAACUUGUGUUCAAAAUUCAGUCAUAAAUAUUUACGAUAUUCAUGAUCAUGAUGACGAUAAAGACCCACUGAAUUUAAAUACAUUUUUUGAGGAGUUGAACAGUAGAUGACAUACUGGGACGCAAGUUGAUGUAGAUCUAUUUAUUUUCGUUAUGUUGAUGUUAUAUAUUUUUUAAAUUGAAUUAAGCCAGAAAAGAAGUAAAAUUCUAAAAUUGUACUUGUGAUCCUGUGGGUCAUUUAUCCAGCAGGGUCCAAGUAAAUUUUGCUGGCAGAGGAAUCAGGUUUUUUGAUUCAUCAUUGGUCAUUUAUGACAUUCUUUGAAGCACUGAGAUUCAUAAGGUUAUAACACAUGCUUUCAAUAGUAUUUGAUUUAAGUUUUCUAAGGAUCAGUAAAGAUCGGGUAAAGAUCAGUAGUUUUAUUGUUUUAGAGCAAAUCGUUUUAGAUAGUAAUAGCUGAUUUAGAUAUCCAUAUUCUCAAGCAGUUUAUGAAAAGUGAACUUUUGCAUGUAAUUGACAAAAGGGUAAAUUUUUGUUGGUUGUCCCACAACACUUGUUUUAAAAUGACUAACAAAAUUUAAACUACAGGUGGAGAGCCCUUUAGGCAUCUCGAAUCUAAAUAGACAUCUAGAUUCUAUGUGUGGCUCUGUGGUAGAAUGUGGAAUAGAAUCAAGGUAUUUGAUGUUUCAGGGACAGCAAAUUGGUAGCAUUGUGAUUGUAUCCUCUUGAUUUUAAGUUGAUAUGUCUUGAUUCAAGGAUGAUAUGAGCAGUGGCAAUGUAUGUUCCAAGAAAGAUGCCUUCUGCUGAAUUAUAAAUGCUGCGUUUUUCUGUUAGUCAAUCCCGAGCCCAUCAGUAACAUUUUGAAGUGAAAAUGUGGAGGGAAUGUAAACGAAAGAAAUAAAAUCACAUGAGUAUAGCUUGCGUGACAUGUUUAUAAAUAUAUUAUGUUGCAAGUCAAAUUAAAUUUCUUUCAGAAGGUUAAAGUAAAUAUUUUUUUCAGAGAAAAUUUAAUAUGGAACAUAAUUUUAUAAAUACAGCCAACCUUGAAAUAUUGGAAUUAACAUUGAAAGAUUAAUUUCUUUAUAAGGACUAAUUAGUAAAUUUAAGGUCCUACUUUACGGCCAAUUUGUUGUGAAUCACUGAAGUUUAUUUCAGAUGUAUAAAGCUGAAACAGCAUUCAUUGAUGGGAGAUGAUAGUCCAGCCCACUAAAUGUUAAUAGAAGAAAGUUGAAUAGUCAAUUCUUGCAUAUAUUUAUCCUGAUAACCAGCAUAAGGGCUAAGUAAUGACAUCAAGUAUGACUUGAAAAGAGUUCAAUGAAAUGCCUGCUAUGAUUCAACAAAUGCCAUCAAGAUUUUAAACAAAUGUUGCUAUACUUAGGAGGUCCUUAGAAUGACGAAGAUCAUUAUUUUGGAAGUGGAAACAGCCUUAAACUCAAACCGGUAUUUAAUAGAAGUAAUGAUAACUAUCCGGGUAUGGAUAAAUGAAAUUUAGAUAAUCUUUAUAUGUACAAAAUUGAAAGGAUGACUUAUUUAGAUAAAUUAAAUGUUACCUAAUAACUUGUAUUGUUUUGUGUGCAAAGAUUAAAGACACUGAGAUUAUUCUCUGAAAGUGUGCUACCUGAUUUUAUAAUAAUCAAGCAUGUAAGUUGCAUGUAAUUAAAUAUUUUUUAAGAAAAGCAUAAGUUAGUGUUUUUAAGAAAAGUCAAAUUAAAACCAUUGAAACUCUGUUUUAAUAGAUAGUAUGUCACAAUAAUUUCUUCAAUUCAAACACUAAAUUAUCUUUAAUUCUAAACUCUGAAUGACAUACUGUAUUAGAACAUGAAACGAGUUUGUUUCAGAGGAUUAAGCAGAAAUACUGAUGUCCAGACCAGAAACACUGUAAGUCAGUGCAAAUAAAUGAAAAAAUGAUUAGAAGAAAAAGAAAGUAACUGGUCAUCUUCCAAGAAUCUUCAUCAAUUACAGUAAGAGUAUUAAUUUCAACCUGGAAUGCUAGAUGUGAGACCUGGCUUAAUUGCAAUGUUAACAUCAAUGUCUUCAUAAAUUGCCAUACAUAAACUGUUGCUGGAGAAAAGCUUAAUUUAUUAUAGAAUUUUAAGUAAUGUAGUUAAAUCACUACUAGUGAAAUGAAAAUGUUCUAAAUAAUAUACGAUGUUGUCCCUGUAUUUGCAAAAUGCCUUUGUAUGCAAUUAUUUUCAGAUUUAGGUAGCUUUAAUUACAAAAAGUUGAAACAGUACAGAUGCCCUCACUAAGCUGAAGUCGCAAGAUACAAGCCAUGAUGCAGUUCCUUAAUGGUUAAUUCUAGCAGUGAGCAUUUGUGUAUUAUUGAGAGUUCAUAUAAAAAUAUGUCCAGAUUAAAACAUUCCUUGCUAGGAAAAAGUAAUAAUUGCUAUGUAACUAGAAAAAAACAUGAUCUGAUUGUUUUAAAUGAAAAGAUAUAAGAAGAUAAGUCACCAAUUUAGUGACACAUUGCAGAAUUUAUUCAUACUCUGUUUCUUAAAUUUAUAUGACAUUUUGUUUGGAGAAUGGGAAGAUUUUUUUCAGAGGUAUAAGAUGAGUUACUGAUGACGAUGAAAUACUAAUGCGUAUCCUAAUAUGAUGAAUGUCCAUGCCUAAUAUAAUUCAGUAAGGCAAUAUGAAGUACAAUGGUCCACUUCCAAGAUUCUGUAUUGGUAUUGUUGAUGGUUAGAGUAAAGUUUUCAUAAUAGUACAUGCAUCUACAUAUAUCUCAAACUGUGUUAGGAAGCAAUAAUAUGAAAAAACAAGGUGAAUCUAUUCUAUGCAAAAAAUGAAAGAGACCGACAUAGAGAAGAAUUUGCUUCUUUUUUUUCCUGAAUGAAUAAUGCUGUAAGAAUUUCUUAGGAAGUGUUCCUAAACUAUCUGUUUCAUGACUUUUUUAAGUAUCUAUGAAAAUUACAUUUACUAGCCUAGAUCAUUUCAUUAAUAUUCUGGUAGUGAAGUAAUCCCUGUAUUUGCAAAAUGUCUUCAUCCUACAUUAUUUUCAGUUGUAUCCUGUUAAAAUACAGCUUCUAUCACAUGAAAAUAAAGUGUGUACAGGUUCUGUUAAUGUUGCUGUUUAUGGGUUCCCCUUGGUGUAACUGAGCAUUGGUAUGCACAUAAAGGCAAGAUCAAAAAUUUCCAUGCUGAUGGACUUUAGAGCAGUAGAUAUGUAUUGAAAAAUGAUUGCUUAAUAUGAUGAUGUAACUUGUCAUCUUGUAACUGUUUGAAUGGAAAAGUUUGAGUAUGCAUUUCCACCUUGAUGUAGCAGGCAUUAUGGCAGUGGCCCCAGCAAUGUUCUUCAUGAUGGAUAGGUUUCUUAAACUAUCUUUGAAGGUAGUCAUGACUUAUGAUCUUGAAAUCAAAUGGUUAAAAAAAGCAGUGAUAUCAUGGUAUGGUUAGUUAUUUGAUUUUUUCUUGAAAUCAUAUACAUUUUUACUGAAACUUGCUUUGCUAAAUGUAACAAUGUGUCCUGAACGAAAAAAGCUUUUUAACAAAAUUUUUAAGAAGUGUUGCGAAAAUGCUUGUUUUAUGGUUGUAUUUAAAAUAUCACAUCAAUGUAAAAUAUUUCGACUACUAAUGAAUUACAAAGUGAUUUACUUCAUCCCAGUAUUUGCAAAAUGCCAAGAACAAGAUUACUUUCAGAUGUAGUCUCCCUUACAACAAAGCGUAUUCUUUUGCAACAGUACAGACAUUUUCUCAGUUUGAGCCACAAGAUGAAUGGGCAUGUUGCAGUUCCUAUAUGAUUUCUCUGUAGCAGUUAAUAGCUAGUAUGCAGUAAGCACUUAAUUCAGUUGGAAAGAAUAUCAUGGGGAUCUGAAUUUUAUACAAAUAAUAAAGAGCACAGAAUGGUUUGUUUUUGUUUUUGAUCAACUAAAAAAAAAUUAGCUUCAUUUUGUAAUUAGAACUGUCUUGAUGUAGUGAAUGUACUUAAAAAUUGAUUGUACAAAUACAUUGUAUAACUUAAUUUACUUGAAAUUUUAUGAGCUAUAUUGUUUGGAGAACAUAACCAAGUUUGUUUCAGAAUUGUAAGCUGAAAUGCGGAUUGUUUACCUAUGAUGUUGAAUGUCCAGUCCAAAAGAAAUAGAUCAUAAUGAAAUAUGCAAUUGGCCAUCUAAGUAUAGAAGAAGUGAGAAUAUCACCAUACAAUGGCAGUCCUGACUUCAUGGCAUACAUAAGCAGUGUCAUUCAUAAUGAAAAAGAUGCCCUGAAUUUUUAAAGGAAAACGAAAUAAUCAAGACUUACAUGAAUAAGGAAGUGGGAAAAUUUGAAAAAGAAGGGAUGAGUGAUGUCUUGGCAUAAGUAUGCUUUUUAUUAAAAAUGAAAUAAAUCUUGUACUGCAGGGUUUGUUAAUUAUAAAAUAUUGAAAAUGUCCUUGUAUUAAAAGUUUGAUAGUCAAAAGUUUUACAAGUAGAAGAAUGAAUUCCUUCAUCCCUUUAUUUGCAAAAUGCCUUGGUAUUCAAUUACUUUCAGAUUUAUUACAAGCACAUAUUUUGCGUCGAAACAGAUUUUGUUGAUCAGUGAAGCCACAGCAAACUGGUCAUGGUGCAGCUCUUUUAUGGUUUCUAUUUAGCACUGUUCCUUUUUGUUCCUGCAAGGUUGAAUGUUGCAAGCCAAAUUUAAGUUAUUCCUAGCAGCAGGAGAAGGUAUUGGAAAAAUGAUUGCAUAAGAGGUAUCCAGUUGUUGAGGUAUAGAAACUAAACCCCAAAAUUAGAAAUUACUCAACUUUGAAAAUAAUUAAAAAUUUAAAUUCCGAAAUUAGUGUAUAUUUAAUAACCUGUUAAUUGGAGAGCAUGACACAAGUUUGUUUCAGAGAUAAAAGUUGAUAUACAGAUGCCCAAACCAAGGCAUUGAUUGUCCAGUAUGCAUUGAUAGAAGAAUGUAAAUGGUGAUAUUGAAAGUAUCAUGUCAGGGGUAUGAAUUUCACCCAUUAUGUUGUAAACUAAACAUCAGAACAGUGGCUCCAGCCUUGUCCUUCAUAAUGUGAUAAAUGCCUCAAAUUAUGCUGAAAGAAAGCCUUGAAAAUGGUCUUGAUAAAGAAUGUUGUUAUAUGUGAAACAAAGUGGUUUAAAUUUUCUUAAGUUUGUUUAAGAGCUUGAUGGUGCUUCCUUUGUUUAAUGUUACAUUUUCUUGCAAAAUUUUUAUGAAGUAAAUAAGCCCAAAAAUAUAAUUGUACAAUUCAAACAUUAUACUUAAUUUAUCUGAAAAUUACAUGACAUAUUGUUAGGAGGACAUAACUAAGUUUGUUUCAGAGGUAUGAGCAGAACUUGUCCAACCCUAGACAUUCACCGUCAAAUAACGAGAUAAAUUUGUAGAAAAUGUCAUCUGCCAAGCUCCUACUGGUAAAGUAAUGUUAGUAGGAAUGUAAAAAGUCUUGACAGAAUGAAAUCAGCAGGAAGUAAGCUCCUUCAAAAGUUUUCAGUCUCCUUGGUGAAAGUCUCAACUCCAACAGUAUCCUGGCAGUUUUCCCUUCCAUUGGAACAAUUACAUUUGCCAUGGAUUACAUGAAACAAGGAAUCUUUUCUUCAAUUUGAUGGUCAUCUUUUGAAUAAAUCAAAACCUGUAUGGGGUGGCCCAAGAUACAAGUUAAAAUAAGUAAGUAGUUUAUGAAUAGCCAUGAUUAUUAGGAAAGGUAUACUGAAAUUGUAGCUAAAAUUCUCAGAAUUGUUAAAACAGUUAAACUUUUUAUUUCAUUCUUUUCAUAAAAUAGUUUAAAAGCUCUGAGCAAUUUAAUGCAUUUUUUGGAUGGAAAAUGAAGGUAGUCUUUUUCAGAUCUUAAAAGCCAUGGACACUGACCUAACACUGAUGUAUUAAAGCAAGACAAAGAAAACUAGGUUGAGCAAAUAUAUUGCCUUUUUGAUCUUCAACUUCUACUAUUGAUCAUUUUACAAUGGCAUAUUUGGUUCUCAUACUUACAAAUUGCGUUGAAUGUUAACUUUUCAAUCAAAGGGACAAAGUUUAAAGAAAAAAAGUUUGUGAUAACAUAAAAAUAAUGGGAACAUGGGAGCGUAAUUAGUUCCUUUAAAAAUGACAAAUUUACAGCUGAAAUGGACUUCUUAGACAGGAACAAGUCAAUUUUGUAAUAUAUAUAAUUAAUGUUGAUGACAUCAUCAAGUUAUACUGUUGUGCGUUUUUUGUUUUUUUUAAUUCAAAUUCGUUUAUUUAAAGUUCUGAUUAAUAAGUUCAAUCAUUAUGUGUGUUGCUUGGAAAAUGUGAAAAGACUCCUUUCAGAAAAUGAAAUCACAAGGAAAUCAACACAUUGAAGUGUUUGGAGCAAAAACCUUGAGUGGUUUUUGACUCCGGUGAUAUCUCCACUCCCACAGUAUCCCAAGAAGCAAGGUGCAUUUGCACAGAUUUGGUGACAAAGCUCUCCUAUCUUAGUUUCAUGUCAUCAUCUGAAUAGUCAAAACAUGUCAAGGGAUGUCUAAAGAUGCAAGCCAGAUUAACUAAAUAAUAAAUGGCUAAGAGAGUUACUCUAAAGUAAAGGUAAAAUUUUCGAAAGUAUUUAAAGGUUUAAUCAAUUUCAUUCAUCAUAUAUGAUACAGGAUGAAAAUUAAGAGCAAUUGGAUGUAUGGAACUUUUGUGUUAACGUUCUCAUUAUUUCAUUCAUCUUACAUCAUCUACAAGUUAAAAAUUCAGAUUAUACUUCAUGGUUAAAAGUUCACUUUCAUUUUCUCCAUAAAAAGCUAAGAGCAAUUCAAUACAUAUUUUGGGAGGAGAAUGUAGAUAGUCUUUUUCAGAUCUUAUAAUAGCCAGAGACAACGGGAUGAAGUCUUGAGUUUUAAAGCCAGGUUAAAAGUUGUGUGCCUUUUAUGAAUGGUCUACAACUACUAUAGAUGGAGUGUUUUCUUUGCAAAAGUAUAUUUGAUCUUUGAUGUUUUGAAAACAUACCAGUUGUGGCGAUAUUACCUUUCCAUCCAAAAUGAAGUUGUAAGACAAGGUUAUGAUGAGAAAUUUUAGAAGGAAGAAAACAAUUCAAUAAUACAUAAUUUUCCUGGAUAGGAAUGCGAGAAACAGGUUUUUCAUCUUAAAUUUUUACAAUUUAAACAAAACAAGUUUUCAGAUGAUUUGUUUGUAAGUUUACCUCAAGAAAUAGCUUGUUUAAACUGAUUUUAUUAACAUUUGAAAAGUUAUGAACCUUUUUGUGUUCAAUUUGUUGUUUUGGAAAUAUGAAAACUCCUUUCAGAAACUGAAAAGUCUCUCACAAGGUCAUAAUACAAGUCAAGUUAUUAGGUAUUUUGGGAACUGGUAGACAUUUCCAGUGGCUUUGGUAAUAGUCUUCACUCCAGAGUUUCCCCUUGCUAAGGUACAGUUACAUUUGCUGAUAGAUCACAUGAAACAAGGCAGCUCCACUCCAAAUUUUGAUGAUCAUCUUUGAAAAUGCAGUUAAAAAUAUCAAGGGUUGUCCAGAGAUGCAAAAUAAGCAGUUUACCAGAAGUUAAAGGUAAAAUUCUCAAUCUCCUCCACAGGUUUAACAAAUUUAAUAAUGUAAAACUGAGCUUUAAAUGUUAGAAAAAAAUUGAAAGUAGUCUUUGCAAUUUAAAUAGUAUAGGAUACUGACCUAACCGUAAAGUAACCCAUGUUUAAACAAAGGCUUUUAGUUAUCUUGUCUUGUUAAUAGCUAGGGUUUUGCUACUCUUAAAAUAUACAAUGUUUCCUUGCAAAAGGAUAUUUGGUUCUUUGUACCUGUUGUGGCGAUUAUUAUGUUUUAUCCACAAUAACAAAGUUUCAAGGCCAGGAAAUUGUGUUGAGGACAUUUUAGUGAUGCAAUGAUGUGCGAUCCUGUAAAAAUGACAAUAAACCUGGCGAUCUGAACUUUGACAGGGGGAUAAAGACAGGUUUGUCUUAUGUAUUCUUGUAAGGUUGAUAAAAAAAAUAACCAACUGAUGUUAUUUUACAAAGGUAGUUAUUAAAUUAUGUUGUUAAAAAAAAAGUAGUUUACAAAGAAGACAUUUUUAAGCUUUAGAAUAUUUUAAGCUUUAAACAUUUUGUCUGUUUGGAAAAUGUGAUCUGGUUCCUUUCAGAAAUUAAGUGUUAAGCAGGUAGAAAUAGGCAAGAAGUCCAUACAGUUUUAAUGAGGUAAACCCUCAAAUGUGGACAAUUUCAAUGGACUUGGUGAAAGUUGUACACUCCAAAAGUAUCUCAAGCUUUCCCUCGUGUUGGGAUGGGUACAUUUGCUGAUUUAUCACAUGAAGCAAGGCUGCUAUUCAAUUUUGACGAUCUUUUGAUAAUAACACCCGGGUUGGUCCAAAGAUGUAAGCCAAAUAAGCAAAAUGCUUGCCAAUAAAAUGAAAUGGUCAGCUAUGAUUGAUUGUCAAGAGAGGUAUCCUAAAAUUCAAGGUAAAAUUCUCGAUCAUUUCAAAAGUUAAUUUUAUUUCAUUUACAUUAUAAAAUACAGGUUAUAUAAUCAAAGCCAAUGGCUAUUUAAUGUAUAUGUCUAGGAAAAUGAAGGUAGUCUUUUUCAGAUCUGAAUUGUCCUAACAGUUUUCAGUUAAAGCCAGAAGUAAUCAAUAUUAAAGAAAGUGGCUUUGGUCAACUCCCAAUUUUGUGAAAUCCUCCAAAGUGGACGUUUUCAGUGGCCUUGGUAAUAGUCUUCAUGCCAACAGUAUCACAAGAGUUUCCCCUUGCAUUGGUAUGGUUACAUUUGCUGAUUGAUCACAUGAAGCAAGGCUUCUCUUCAGUUUUGAUGGUCAUCUUUUGAAAAUGCAGUUAAAACAUUGUUCAGGGUUGCGCCAAAAUAAGGAAGAUGUUUGCAAGCAUUUGCAUAAUUGAAUGAAAAAAUAUUUGGAGGAAAAAAGGUAGUCUUUUUGCAGAUCUAUAAAGUAUGGGAUACUGACCUGACCGCUUGAGAUAGAUGUCAGACAUAAAUCAAUCAUUAAAAGGCUUUAAAUCAUCUUUAAAAUUACCUGUUGUCAACAAUGACGAAGUUUCAAGAGCAGGACAUUGUGAUGAGGACUUUUUAGUGAUCAAAAGAUAGGGGACUGCGAUACUUAGAUUGACAAUAUUUCUUGUGAACUAGACAUAUAAAGACAGGUUUUUUAUUCUUAUUCUUUUAAAAGAAACAAAAUAAUGGUGUAGAAUCGAAAAUUAAAAGCUUGCAGAAGUUUUAUAUUAUAUAGGAAGAUAAAUUAUCAAGUUUAAAAAAAGACAUAUUUUAGCUUAAGAACAUUUUUCAGUUCAGUCAUUUUGUCUGUUGUUUGCAACAAUGGCUCCUUUCAGAAAUUAAGUGUUUGGCAAGUGGAAGUCCGCAAGAAGUAAUUCCAUACAGUUUUAUGGUAAACCCUCAAAUGUGCACAUUUUCAGUGGCCUUGGUGAAAGUUUUACACUCAAAGUAUAUCAAGUUUUCCCUUGCGUUGGCGCAGGUACAUUAGCUGAUUCAUCACGAGAAGCAAGGCUCCUAUUAAAAUUUGAUGCUCAUCUUUUGAAAAUGCAGUUAUAUUUUGGGAUGUUCAAAGAUACAAGCCAAACUUAGAAAGAUGUUUGCCAGUAACUGAAAUGAUAGCUAUGAUUGAUUGUAAAGAGAGGUAUCCUAGAAUUCAAGGUAAAAUUCUCAACUUAUUUCAAGGGUGACUAUAUCAUUUACAUACAAUAAUACAGGUUUAACAAAGCCAAUACCAAUUUUAUGUAUAUUUUGCAAGGAAAGUGAAGGUAGUCUUUUUCAGAACUGAAUAGCCUGGUACAUAGACGUAACAACUUGAAGUUUUCAAUUUAAAAGCCAGAAGUAAAGUUAUCCAUAUUGAAGAAAGUGCCUUUGGUUAGCUCCAAUUUUUGUGAAAUCCUCGAAAGUGGACAUUUUCAAUGGCCUUGGUAAUAGUUUUCAUGCGAACAGUAUCUCAAGAGUUUCCCCUUGCAUUGGUAUGGUUACAUUUGCCGAUUGAUCACCUGAAGCAAGGCUUCUCUUCAGUGUUGAUGGUCAUCUUUUGAAAAUCCAGUUAACACAUAUCAUGGUUGAUCCAAAGAUACAGGCCAAUAUAAGCAAGACGUUUGCCAGUGCAAUAAAAUGAUAAGCUAUGAUCGAUUGUGAAAAGAGUUAUCCUAAAAUUGAAAGGUAAAAUUCUCAAUUUUUAUCAAAAGUAAAAUUUAUUUCAUUUACAUCUUAAAAGCAAAGUUUUACAAAGCCAAGACCAAUGUAUUGUAUAUUUUGGGAGGAAAGUGAAGGUAGUCUUUUUCAGAUCUGAAUAGCCUGGAAUAUUGGUCCAACAGCCUGAGGUUUUCAGAUUAAAGCCAGAAGUAAAGUAAUCCAUAUUAAAGAUAGUGUCUAUGGUCAGCUCUCCAACUCUGUGAAAUCCUCAAAAGUUGACGUUUUCAAUGGCCCUGGUAAUAGUCUUCAUGCCAACAGUAUCUCAAGAGUUUCCCCUUGCAUUGGUAUGGUUACAUUUGCCGAUUGAUCACAUGAAGCGAUGCUCCUCUUCAGUUUUGAUGGUCAUCUUUUGAAAAUGCAGUUAAAACAUAUAAAGUUUGAUCCAAAGAUACAAGCCAAAAUAGGUAAGAUGUUUGCCAGUAAAGGAAAUGUUGAUAAGCUAUAUGAUUAGAGUAAAGAGGUAUCCUAAAAUUCAUAGUGAAAUUCUCAACUUAUUUCAAGAGUGACUUUAUCAUUUACAUCAUGACAAAGCAAAGACCAAUUUAAUGUUUUAUUUUGGAAGGAAAGUGAAGGUAGUUUUUUUCAGAUCUGAAUAGCCCAGGACAUUGACCUAACAGCCUGAAGUUUUCAGAUUAAAGCCAGAAGUAAAGUAAUCCAUUUCCAAGAUAGUGCCUGUUGUCAGCUCUCCAACUCUGAAAUCCUCAAAAGUUGACGUUUUCAAUGGCCUUGGUAAUAGUCUUCAUGCCAACAGUAUCUCGAGUUUCCCCUUGCAUUGGUAUGGUUACAUUUGCUGAUUGAUCACCUGAAGCAAGGCUUCUCUUCAGUUUUGAUGGUCAUCUUUUGAAAAUGCAGUUAAAACAUAUCGAGGUUUAUGCAAAGAUACAAGCAAAAAUAAGAGAGACUUCUGCCAGUAUUAUGAAAUGAAUAGGUAUGAUAGGAGUAAAGAGAGGUAUCCUAAAAUUCAAGGUAAAAAUUCUCAACUUCAAGAGUGACUUAAUAUCAUUUACAUCAUAAAAAAUGGGUUUAACAAAGCCAAUACCAAUUUAAUGUAUAUUUUGGGAGGAAAGUGAAGGAAGUCUUUUUCAGAUUGAUUUGAAUAGCCUGUGAUAGGGACUUCACGUCCAGAAGUUUUCAGUUUAAAGCCAGAUGUGAAGUAAUCCAUAUUAAAGAAAGUGCCUUUGGUCAGCUGCAACUUUGUUAAAUCCUCAAAAGUGGACGUUUUCAAUGGCCUUGGUAAUAGUUUUCAAGCCAACAGUAUCUCAAGAGUUUCCCCUUGCAUUGGUAUGGUUACAUUUGCCGAUUGAUCACCUGAAGCAAGGCUUCUCUUCAGUGUUGAUGGUCAUCUUUUGAAAAUGCAGUUAAAACAUAUCAAGUUUGAUCCAAAGAUACAAGCCAAAAUAGGUAAGAUGUUUGCCAGUAAAGGAAAUGUUGAUAAGCUAUAUGAUUAGAGUAAAGAGGUAUCCUAAAAUUCUUAGUAAAAUUCUCAACUUUCUUCAAGAGUGACUUUAUCAUUUACAUGAUAACAAAGCCAAGACCAAUUUAAUGUUUAUCUUGGGAGGAAAGUGAAGGUAGUCUUUUUCAGAUCUGAAUAGCCUGUGACAUUGACUUAACAGAUUAAAGCCAGAAGUAAAGUAAUCCAUAUUCAAGAUAGUGCCUGUUGUCAGCUCUCCAACUCUGUGAAUUCCUCAAAAGUUGACGUUUCAAUGGCCUUGGUAAUAGUUUUCAUGCCAACAGUAUCUCGAGUUUCCCCUUGCAUUUAUAUGGUUACAUUUGCUGAUUGGUCACCUGAAGCAAGGCUUCUCUUCAGUUUUGAUGGUCAUCUUUUGAAAAUGCAGUUAAAACAUAUCAAGGUUGAUGCAAAGAUACAAGAUACAAGCCAAAAUAGGUAAGAUGAUUGCCAAUAAAGGAAAUGUUGAUAAGCUAUAUGAUUAGAGUAAAGAGGUAUCCUAAAAUUCAUAGUAAAAUUCUCAACUUUCUUCAAGAGUGACUUUAUCAUUUACAUGAUAACAAAGCCAAGACCAAUUUAAUGUUUAUUUUGGGAGGAAAGUGAAGGUAGUCUUUUUCAGAUCUGAAUAGCCUGUGACAUUGACUUAACAGAUUAAAGCCAGAAGUAAAGUAAUCCAUAUUCAAGAUAGUGCCUGUUGUCAGCUCUCCAACUCUGUGAAAUCCUCAAAAGUUGACGUUUUCAAUGGCCUUGGUAAUAGUUUUCAUGCCAACAGUAUCUCAAGAGUUUCCCCUUGCAUUGGUAUGGUUACAUUUGCUGAUUGAUCACCUGAAGCAAGGCUUCUCUUCAGUUUUGAUGGUCGUCUUUUGAAAAUGCAGUUAAAACAUAUCGUGGUUUAUGCAAAGAUACAAGCAAAAAUAAGAGAGACUUCUACCAGUAUUAUGAAAUGAAUAGGUAUGAUAGGAGUAAAGAGAGGUAUCCUAAAAUUCAAGGUAAAAAUUCUCAACUUACUUCAAGAGUGACUUAAUAUCAUUUACAUCAUAAAAAAUGGGUUUAACAAAGCCAAUACCAAUUAAAUGUAUAUUUUGGGAGGAAAGUGAAGGAAGUCUUUUUCAGAUUGAUUUGAAUAGCCUGUGAUAGGGACUUCACGUCCAGAAGUUUUCAGUCCAAAGCCAGAUGUAAAGUAAUCCAUAUUAAAGAAAGUGCCUUUGGUCAGCUGCAACUUUGUUAAAUCCUCAAUAGUGGACGUUUUUAAUGGCCUUGGUAAUAGUCUUCAUGCCAACAGUAUCUCAAGAGUUUCCCCUUGCAUUGGUAUGGUUACAUUUGCCGAUUGAUCACAUGAAACGAUGCUCCUCUUCAGUGUUGAAGGUCAUCUUUUGAAAAUGCAGUUAAAACAUAUCAAGUUUGAUCCAAAGAUACAAGCCAAAAUAGGUAAGAUGAUUGCCAAUAAAGGAAAUGUUGAUAAGCUAUAUGAUUAGAGUAAAGAGGUAUCCUAAAAUUCUUAGUAAAAUUCUCAACUAACUUCAAGAGUGACUUUAUCAUUUACAUGAUUACAAAGCCAAGACCAAUUUAAUGUUUAUUUUGGGAGGAAAGUGAAGGUAGUUUUUUUCAGAUCCGAAUAGCCUGUGACAUUGACUUAACAGAUUAAAGCCAGAAGUAAAGUAAUCCAUAUUCAAGAUAGUGCCUGUUGUCAGCUCUCCAACUCUGUGAAUUCCUCAAAAGUUGACGUUUUCAGUGGCCUUGGUAAUAGUCUUCAUGCCAAUAGUAUCUCAAGAGUUUCCCCUUGCAUUGGUAUGGUUACAUUUGCUGAUUGAUCACCUGAAGCAAGGCUUCUCUUCAGUUUUGAUGGUCAUCUUUUGAAAAUGCAGUUAAAACAUAUCAAGGUUGAUGCAAAGAUACAAGCAAAAAUAAGAGAGACUUCUGCCAGUAUUAUGAAAUGAAUAGGUAUGAUAGGAGUAAAGAGAGGUAUCCUAAAAUUCAAGGUAAAAAUUCUCAACUUACUUCAAGAGUGACUUAAUAUCAUUUACAUCAUAAAAAAUGGGUUUAACAAAGCCAAUACCAAUUAAAUGUAUAUUUUGGGAGGAAAGUGAAGGAAGUCUUUUUCAGAUUGAUUUGAAUAGCCUGUGAUAGGGACUUCACGUCCAGAAGUUUUCAGUUUAAAGCCAGAUGUAAAGUAAUCCAUAUUAAAGAAAGUGCCUUUGGUCAGCUGCAACUUUGUUAAAUCCUCAAUAGUGGACGUUUUUAAUGGCCUUGGUAAUAGUCUUCAUGCCAACAGUAUCUCAAGAGUUUCCCCUUGCAUUGGUAUGGUUACAUUUGCCGAUUGAUCACAUGAAGCGAUGCUCCUCUUCAGUGUUGAUGGUCAUCUUUUGAAAAUGCAGUUAAAACAUAUCAAGUUUGAUCCAAAGAUACAAGCCAAAAUAGGUAAGAUGAUUGCCAAUAAAGGAAAUAUUGAUAAGCUAUAUGAUUAGAGUAAAGAGGUAUCCUAAAAUUCAUAGUAAAAUUCUCAACUUACUUCAAGAGUGACUUUAUCAUUUACAUCAUAACAAAGCCAAGACCAAUUUAAUGUUUAUUUUGGGAGGAAAGUGAAGGUAGUUUUUUUCAGAUCUGAAUAGCCUGUGACAUUGACUUAACAGAUUAAAGCCAGAAGUAAAGUAAUCCAUAUUCAAGAUAGUGCCUGUUGUCAGCUCUCCAACUCUGUGAAUUCCUCAAAAGUUGACGUUUUCAGUGGCCUUGGUAAUAGUCUUCAUGCCAAUAGUAUCUCAAGAGUUUCCCCUUGCAUUGGUAUGGUUACAUUUGCUGAUUGAUCACCUGAAGCAAGGCUUCUCUUCAGUUUUGAUGGUCAUCUUUUGAAAAUGCAGUUAAAACAUAUCAAGGUUGAUGCAAAGAUACAAGCAAAAAUAAGAGAGACUUCUGCCAGUAUUAUGAAAUGAAUAGGUAUGAUAGGAGUAAAGAGAGGUAUCCUAAAAUUCAAGGUAAAAAUUCUCAACUUACUUCAAGAGUGACUUAAUAUCAUUUACAUCAUAAAAAAUGGGUUUAACAAAGCCAAUACCAAUUUAAUGUAUAUUUUGGGAGGAAAGUGAAGGAAGUCUUUUUCAGAUUGAUUUGAAUAGCCUGUGAUAGGGACUUCACGUCUAGAAGAUUUCAGUUUAAAGCCAGAUGUGAAGUAAUCCAUAUUAAAGAAAGUGCCUUUGGUCAGCUCUCCAACUCAGUGAAAUCCUCAAAAGUUGACGUUUCAAUAGCCUUUGUAAUAGUUUUCAUGCCAACAGUAUCUCAAGAGUUUCCCCUUGCAUUGGUAUGGUUACAUUUGCUGAUUGAUCACCUGAAGCAAGGCUUUUCUUCAGUUUUGAUGGUCAUCUUUUGAAAAUGCAGUUAAAACAUAUCAAGGUUGAUGCAAAGAUACAAGCAAAAAUAAGAGAGACCAGUUAUGUUUGCCAGUAAAAUGAAAUGAUGAGCUAUGAUUGUCAAGAGAGGUAUUCUUCAAUUAAAAUUCACAAUUAUUUAAAAAUUGAUACAUUCUCUUCAUAAAAUAAUAAUAAGAGCAAUUUCUUUAAUGUGUACGUUGGAGGAAAAUGAAGUCUUUUUCAGAUUCUUAUAGUGGGGAUCACUGACCUUACAGCUUGGAAGUUUUAAGUUGGAAGUAAUGUAAUCCAUGUUCAAACAACGGCAUCUUCAGUUUUUUAAAUGGGACAAGGUUUGAUUUACCACCCCUUAUAUUGAUGGAAUGAUUUCCUUGCAAUAGAAGUAGGUUGUGAUGAAAACUUUAUAGAGAUAAACACAUUAGAUGAGAAUGGUAUUAUUUCUGUUCAUUUGGAAGAGGGUAAGACCUUAACUUUUGAAGUUUAAACAAAGCAGUGAUCUUGUAUCCAGAAUGAAUAACAAGUUUUUAAGCUUUUCUUACUAGAUGUUCUGUUAAUGUAGCUUAGAUUAAACUAAUUUUAUAAACAUUUGAACUUUUUACCUUGAGUGAUUUUGUCUGUUCGGAAAAUAUGAAACGUUUUUUUCUAGAAUUAAAAAAAUCUGACGGGAUGGUUAUCAGCAGAAGCAAAUCAAUAAGGCAUUUAAUAGGUAGACCUGAAAUAAGAAGCCAAAGUAAGCAGGCAUUUUGCCAGCAGAAUGAAAUGAACAGCCAAGGUUGACUUUUAAGAGAUGUAUCCUAAAAUUUAAGGUAAAACUCUUGAGGAUUAUUUAAAAGUAGAUAUUCUUUUAAUUAAAUACAGGUUUAAAUGCCAAAAGCAAUGAAAUGUAUAUGUUGCAAGGCAUGUAUUGACAGAAAUGAAAGAAAUAGGUUUUCCUAUAGUCUUUAAGAGAUGCCAUUUACAAAGUCUACUAAAAUGUUCUGGAUUGACCUUGAUUAUGUUGAGAUCAUUUUUAUAUGCCUAAAGUCUUAAGUAAAGCUAAAGGGAGUAACCAAUUAAACCAAAUUCUAUGGUCAAAAUUAGUUUUUGAAUACAUUGUUAGGAGAAAAAUGAAGCCAGUUCUUUUCAGAUUUGUUUACCCUGGAUGCAGAUUGAAUAGAAUUAACAACCCAUGAAGAAGCAUAUACUUUAGGGCAUCGUUACAUUGUGAAGGGUAUAAAAUAUAUUGACCUUUGCAUUUGAUUGUUUCCCUGUGCAUUGGCAUGUUUACUUGGUAUUAUUGAAUAAUGAUUUUCUGCAUGUUGUAUUUUUCUUGUAAUUUAUAAUAUCAGGACUUUUUCAAAUUAUAACUAAGGUAUCACACACAGUUGCUUUAGCAUCUGAAAAGUUACCAAGUCUGUAAUCAAGUUUUAAGUGUUUUAAAAAAGAAACUAGUUGUUUGGUAUAACAAUGGUAAAGUUUGUUUGGAAAAGGUGAAAGCUAGUUUGUUUCAGCUCUAGAGAAGUAGCAGACAAUUAUUAUUCAGCAAAAGUUGGCAUGGUGAAAGGUUUCAAUUCAUCCAGCAGUGCUUACAUAUUGUAUUAAAAUGAAAUUGUAAUGGUAAUAUUUUGUUGAUGACAACACAGGUCGUAGGCGAAAGAAUUCUAAUUUGCCUUUAUUUUUUAAAGAAUUGACAGAAAUAGAUUUGAAUGAAAUGACAAAACACAUGGUUUAUGUAAAAGUAUAAAAAGUAUAAAAUUCUUGUAAACUAAAUCAAAUGAAAAGGUCAUUUUUUUAAAGAUAUAGACAUCAUUUUUAAUUGAAAGGAGAAACUUUUAAUAAUAGAUGCUUAUUGUUUUGGAGAACUGCAACAGUUUAUUUCAGAUAAUUCAAUAAAAGAGCUAAGAAUAUUGUCCUGUCAGCUUUGUUUGAAGGAAGUCCUGUUCCUAAAUGGAAGAUUGUUCCACAACAAUAUUGAAUAGUUUACCCAUUGGUUGACAUGAAGCCCUUGUAUAGUAACAUACAUAUUUUUCAUGUUUUUAAUAGUUCAACGUUGUACAUUUUGCAUCAUUAAUGUAAGUUAUUAUAGUAUUAAUGUAAUUUGUUUAGUUGUUUUUUUUCCAUACUAUAAUGAUAGAAUAGAAGAUAAUGCUAGAAUUUAUUGCACAAUUUCUUGUUAAUAUUUCUAAGAAUCAUUGCACUUAGAUUAAAUAAGUAUUGUGUCAGUAGUUGGAGAAAAUGAAACAAGUUUUUCAGGUUAAACAGCAAGUUUUCAUGAAAUUCAAAGCAGUAUCUGGGUAUAAUGCAACAUCUAUGGCUUGAUUUCAAAGUAUAGACUGAAAGUGACCAUAUCAUUAGACUUAUUAGGUGACUAUGUAUCAAGUGGUUCAGUUAUUUUGUUUUCCAGGUUAUUUGAAGCAUAGAGUUUUCAUAUUAAUAAUUUGAAUAAAUAUCUUUAUUUAUAUAUCAAACUUGAUUUGAUAAGUUUUAUUAUAUCUGAAGAAAUAGCUUUAAAGUUGUCCAGUUAGAAGAAGUUCUAUGGGAAUUGAAUAUAUAAUUUUGUUAAUAGCUUCCAGACAACAGAUUGUUGGUGUAAUUAUUAAAGAUUUCAGUAGUGAUGAGAUGAUUAGCCUUUAACUACACAGUACUUCCACCUUUCAUUUCUAGAUCUAUUCAAUGUACUACUAAUUGAUGUCUGUUUUUGUAUUUAUAUCUUUUCAAAUUGGAUUGGUUUUAAUGCAUUUUCAAAACUAGGUGUAUGAAGUGACAUGAUUUUGAAAGUUUAUUUCAGUGAUUGUGUUGUUGUCAAAAUAGAAUGCAAAGGUAUAUAUACCAAUAAACCAUAAUUCCCAGGUUGUUGUGCUAGUACUACAAAUAGAUUUCACCAUUUUCUAAUAACUGUGCUUUGCAUAUACAAAUCUGUAAAAUUCUUUACUCUGAAUUUACUAAUAUUUGUUUAGAAUAUAUAGUUUACCAGAUGUGUAUGCUUGUUUUGUAAUUUAUAAUGAACAUUUACAUAAUUACUUGUGUUGAGAAAUGUAAUUCUAGAGAUAUAUGAUAAGCAAGUCAUUAAACAUCAUCCUUAUUUCAUAUUUACCAUCACUUUUCUAGUUUCAAUCAAAAUAGUACAAUGAUAGGGGUUCUUGUUUAAACCUAGUGUUUUUCAGAUAUGGAAGAAACAACACGUUCUUCAGGGAUAGGAGCAUAUUUUGUUUAUCUUUCAGAAUAACUUAUGUGUAGUAACCACCCUUAGACUUGACCAGAAUUUAUGUGUUGGUGUUAUUUCGUACAAUUGAAAGAUGCUGGUUCCAUAUUUAUAUAAGUAGCAAAUUCAAAGCAAGUGGCAAGUUAACAUGCUUUAUGUAUUCCAUUGUAAUAAAAUGUAAUGCUCGUCAAAACAAAUAUUCAGAUAUUUUGUGAUAUUAUUUACACAUCAAUUUUAAUCUUCCAUUUGUUUUUCAUUAUAUGUUUUUGAAUCCUGUACAUACAUUUCUUCUUUAUUGUACUGUUUUUGGGGUUCAGGGGGGAGUUUGAACUUUUUUUAGUGUUUUGCAGAAUCUCCAAUGUGUGAUGAGAAAAGCUUUGUCCCAGUUCCCUCAUGUUGUUAUUUUGACCAGAUACAGAUGGUUGCAUACUUGAUAAGAUCUUUUUUGUCUUUCUAUAGCUAAUAUACCUACAGUUUGCACCACUAAAAUGAUGUUUUUUUGCUUUAGCUAAGAGACAUAUGGUCUGCACCACUAAACUGACAAAUUUCAAAAAGCACAAGUUUUUAAUUUUUUUGAAAUUAAGUUUCAUAACUUUCUGUUUGCUAUCUAUCUAAAAUAACAUGUUGUGGCAUUUGGAUAUGUAACAGUUUGAUAUUGCAGAUUUCAUAGCACUGAUUUCGAAAUAAUGAAGUACUCCGUGGCUUCAAGUAGUUUUUCAUGGAAGAGGAUAACCCAGUUUGAAUACUUUCAUAUGUAAAUAUGGGAAAAGAAUGCAUUUUGAAAAUUGAGGGAAACGAAAGGUCUAAUUUUGAUUAUUUCAGAUUGCCAUCAAAUAUGAUCAUGAUAUAUUGACUAAUUAUCAGAGUGAUUAUUUUUCUCCUUAAAGUUGAUUGUGAUGGAAAAUGUAUUGUUUAUCCUUCAAAAAACACCUGCUUUGUAUAUUUUCUUACUGAUUUUAAUAGAAUUGAUGUUCAAGUCUUUCUAGUGUAGAUUUUGUGUAAAGUUUGCUUAAUAUAUUUAAUAAUUGAAACACUAAUUUUCAGUGAUUAUUUCAGAUUGCUAUUGAAAAUGAUGUCUGUGUACUAAUUUAAGAGUUUCCACCUUUGAAUUAAGAGGUGUUUCUUUUUUUCUUCUUUUUUGCUAUCAUAAGCAAUUCUAUCACAUUCUUUAGGGAUGGGGGGGCAUAUUUUGUUUAUCUUUCAGAAUAACUUGUUUCGUGUAAAGUGACCACCCUAAGACUAGACCAGAAUUCAUUGGUGUUAUUUCGUACAAUUGAAAGAUGCUGGUUCCAUAUUUAUAUAAGUAGCAAGUUCAUUUCCAUGUUUUUUAAAGCAAGUGGCAAGUUAACAUGCUUUAUGUAUUUCAUUGUAAUAAAAUUAAAAUUAUAACAAAUAUCCAGAUAUUUUGUGAUAUUAUUUACACAUCAAUUAAAAAAAAUUACCUUUCUUUUUCAUUAUAUGCUUUUGAAUCCUGUACAUGCAUUUCUUUUUUAUUUUACUGUUUUUGGGGGUCAGGGGGGAGUUUGAACUUUUUUAGUGUUUUGCAGAAUCUCCAAUGUGUGAUGAGAAAAGCUUUGUCCCAGUUCCCUCAUGUUGUUAUUUUGACCAGAUACAGAUGGUUGCAUACUUGAUAAGAUCUUUUUUGUCUUUCUAUAGCUAAUAUACCUACAGUUUGCACCACUAAAAUGAUUAUAUUUUUUUUUUUGCUUUAGCUAAGAGACAUAUGGUCUGCACCACUAAACUGACAAAUUUCAAGAAGCACAAGUUCUUUUAAUUUUGAAAUAAAGUUGCAUAACGUUCUGUUUGCUGUCUAAAAUAACAUGUUUUGGCAUUUGGGUAUGUAACCGUUUGAUAUUGCAGAUUUCAUAGCACUGAUUUCGAAAUAAUGAAGUACUCCAUGGCUUCAAGUAGUUUUUCAUGGAAGAGGAUGACAAGUUCAAAAGAGAAUGCAUUUUGAAAAUUACUUCAGAUUGCCAUCAAAUAUGAUUGUAGAAUAGGAAUCUGGAUAUUUUUACUGCAUUAUCAGAGUAAUUCUUUUCUCCUUAAAGUUGAUUGUGGUGAGGAAUGUAUUGUUUAUACUUCAAAAACACACUCGCUUUGUGUAUUUACUUACUGAUUUUUUAACAGCAUUGAUGUUGCAUGUCUUUCUGGUAGGAUGCAAAUUCCAAGUGUUUGAAGCUUAUAUUAAAACAAGGGAGAAGUGGCCAUAUAUACAUGCUUUAUCUCAAUAGUAUAUAGCUCAAUAUUUUUAAUAGCAUUAGAUUAGACAACUUGCUAUGCAUUUUUUAUUUAAUUACUUGUUUGUCAUUGAUAUAUUUCUCUCCACAUUGUAAUUUGUAUUUGCAUUAUAGUCGGCUAUUUGGGGGGCAGAGUUGGGUUGAAAUAUUCUAGUUUUUUGCAGAGAAAAGUGGCAGUGAAGGGAAAAGCUUUGUCUGUUUGUCAUCGUUUAUCAGGUACAUAGUCAACCAUCAUUCAAAAUAUUUGAUUACCUUCAUGUAAUUCUUUGUCUUUAUUUUGACUUCUGCAAGUACAUGAUGUUAAAGAGAUUUGUUACUUUCUUAAAAAUUGUUAAUAUUAUAAUAUCAACUUAUGUUGCAUACUAAAAUUCCAUAAUUUGUUGGGGUGGGUGUGGGUAUAAUAAUUCCAUAGAUUAUUGCAGAUGCUGAUGAGAUUGACAUGUAACAUUACAGUUCUGGAAAAUCAAAACAGAUGUUCUUGUUAAUCAGAGAAGAAACAAUAAUUUCUUAAUAUUUCUGGCCAAAUAUAGUAUUUCUGGCCUAGUAAUGAAAGAGAACAAUUUUUUAACAUUGAAAUUUGCUAUAGAAUUGUGACCCUUAUUUUUCUGGUUAUGAUUUAAGGAAUUGUGAUAGAUUUUAAUUAUUUCAUGUUGACAAUGAAUGUUCAGUAGUGAGAAGUUGCUUUAUGUAAAGAGUUCUUUCACUGAUAAUUUUUCAAAAUACCAAACUGGCUGAUCAGCUUUUGUCAUAAAUUUUGUCUUUGGAGUUGCUUGGCGGGGUGGCCAGGUAUAUUUUGUUUAUCUUUCAGAUUUAGUUGCAGUUGAGGAAUGGCCUUCAGGUUUAAUCAGUUUUCUUGUUGAUGUUUAUUUCAAAGAAGUUGAAAGUUGCCAGCUUUUUUGGAUUGAAAGCAAAAGUUGGGAUUAGGGCAAGUGGCCAUUGCUUUUGUAUACUUGCACUUUUUUAGUAAAAUAAUUUGAUUAAACUUAGAUAUUUUUGUUCAUUGUUUGAUUGAAUUACUGCUUUGCAUAUCAUACUUUGUUUGUUUGCACAGACUUUCUUUAAGAGUAAUACCAUUAGGAAUUGGGGUCUGACUUUUGCAGCUAACAGUAAUGAGGAAAGGUAUUUAACAGAUUGGUUUUGACAUUAUUUCAUAACUAACAUAAGGCAUCUGAUCUAAAAAGAAUAAAUGCUUCAUUAAAAAAAACUAUUUGAAGUAAACACAGUAUUAUUAGAUAAGUAUUAAUUAAUAGCUAUGUGAAAUGAUCAAGAAUAUCUUGGAAGAUUCAAGUUUGACAGUUUUUUUUACACUUGUUUGUUUGCUUGGAAUUUGGUGUUCCCCUUAGACAUUGCAGAUGCAGUGCUAAAUUUAUAUUGUGAAAAUGUAAUUGUUGUAAGAACUACUGCAUGUGGUUAAUAAUAACAAAUUUCAAUACUCGUUUUAGAGACAUAUCUAUUCUUAGACAUGUAAGUCUUAUUUGCCAAAUUAGUACCUGCAAUUUUUAAUGAAAUAUCGAAGAAUUUUGUUAAAUCAGUUAUGUUGUCUAGGGGAUGGGGCAUAUUUUGAUUAUCUUUCAGAUCAACUUGCUAAAUUUAAAAUAAUUACCAUAUUAAAGACUAAACUAGGAUAUAUCCAGUAGUUUUUGAAGUGUGGAAGUUGGUGGUCCAAGUGAGAAUAUAGGACAAGCUGUUGUCAUUUCUUUUUUAUGCUCGUUUGUUUUACCAAGUACUGAGGUAGAUAUAUUUUAAAGAAUUAUUUAUAUUUUUUAUGCAUUUCAUUUCCUUAUUUGUAUUCACAGUGUGCUUUUUGUAAUCAGUUUACUUUAACCAGAUAAUUUACUCAAUUUUUGUCUAUCUUUAGCUCUGUUUCCUAUUUAUUUGUCAAAUAAUAUGAUCUGUAAAUAAAUGUGAUAAAUAUACCUUAAAUAUAAAAUAAUAUGAUAGGUAAAUAAAUGUGGUAAAUUUACCUCAAAUAUGUUUAGAGGCAAUACAUUAAAUACUAACUAUUCAAUUAUAACUUAUUAAAUUAGCUAUUAUAAUAGAUGUGUAUUGUAUAUUUCUAUUAUUUAAAUUAAAGAAAAUGAUACUAACUGGGUUGGGAUUGGGGCAUAUAAUUGUUCUUGAGAUUAUUUCAGAUGCUGUAAAGAUUUUAGUCUUGAAAUUGUAUUGAAACAGUUGUAGCAGGCAUGAGUCUUUACUUUUCUUAUAAAUAUACCUGUGUACACAAUUAAAAAAUAAUGUUUAUGGCUAGAAUACAUUGGUUUCUUUUCUAACAAUAAUAUAUUUUUAGAAAUCAUUUAUACAUCAAGGUUUUUGUAUUGCAUUAUCUUCUAGUAGAAGUUUAUGUAUUGCAUUAUCUUCAGAAAAUAGAAGUAAGCAAAUAUUUUUUUGUAGUUCGAUAAUGAAUUCUAUAAAAUGUACUAAAAAUUUUGGUUCUUCACUAUACUCUUAUUUUUAAUUAUAAAUUAGCUUUUAAAUGAUUAUACUAGCCGUUAUAUUUAAGUUUUCUUGUCUGUAAUGUGUAAUUUAAUUUGACGUCAGCAUUUCUUCAUUUCAAAAUGUUUUGUUGCUGUUUUUGCUUUUUAAUGGGGUUGGGGUAUGUUGUUUUUUAUUUUUCAGAGCUAGGUGUGUAGUUGAUUAAUCAUCAAACUUGGCCUGAAUUUUUGUGAUGUUUUCUUGCAAGUUUUGAGUUCUAGUUAAAGCACAAGUUAAAACAAGGGGCAAGUGGUUGUUGCUUUUAUCUACAUUAUGUUUUCAGUAAUUGGAAUAGUAAUAGAUAUCUUAUUAGCUUAUUGAUAGGAAUUUAUAAUAGUUCCUAAAUUUAUUCUCACUGUAAUAUUGUACUUGUAUACACUGCUUUUUAGUUAUGAUUGUACAUGGGGAAGUUUGGGUCAUCAUAUUUGUGUGUAUCAGUUGCAAACUUGAAAUUGUGUCACUGUUGAGUCAAAUUCUCCCUUAGUUUCCUCAAUUAUUCAUCGAUUUCACAAAAGCAACUUAUUCCAAUUUUCUCUUUGUUAUUGCUCUAGUUUUUGUGUGUUAGAUAUUUUGUUUGUGGAAAUAGGUUUUAGUCCAUUACUUGAUUGAAAUGAUGAUUUUUAAAACAGAUUAAGAUAGAUAUAAAAAGUGUGUAAAAGGUUUUAUUAAAUUUAAUGCAAUAUAAGCAUCCACAUACAAGAGCUUGAUGUUACUAAAUAUUAACAUUAAAAUGUAUUGGUUAUACAGCAUGUAGUUACACGGUUUUUUAGAUUUAUAUAAUUGCACUAUUUAUAUUGUUCAAAGACUUGUUGCUUGAUUUGUUGUAGGUAGGGUGGGGCAAGUUUUAUUUAUAUUUCAGAAUAACUUGAGAAAAAAAUGGGAGUGUUCACCCUUAGAAAUGUGUUUGACCUUUGCAUGACAGAAUCAUGUAAUUUAUCAAAGUUAAGGUAACAUUAAUGAUGGACAAUAUUGUAAGCAGAAACUAUUUCUGAACUUAUGAAGAUAAGAAAUAAUAGGUUUUGAAUAAUAUACAAUGUGAGCUUUGACUUUAACAAACAUAAAUGAAGGUUUUAAUUGUGUAUUCACUGAACAUAAUUUUAUCAGAUAAUGAAAGUAACUCUGAAUUUUAUUAGCAUUUCCUUGAUUUAUAGUUGUAUAAUAGCUAACAUUAUGUUCAAAUCUUGUUGGGAACUUGAUUGCCUUGAUUUGUUUUUAGGUGGAGUGGGGAGUGUUUUGUUUUUUCUUUCAGAACAUUUUAACAGAAUGGUGUUCACCUUCAAACUAAUGAAAAAAUUGUUGUUUUUGAAAGAUGCCAGUCAGGGUAUAUAUAAAGUGUUAAAAAUUGGCAAGUGGCCUUUGCUUUCAUAUGCUAUUUUUUUAGUGUAUCAACUAUAGCUUAAUUUUUAAAAAUUAGAAUAUCGUGCGUAAACUAUUGUUCACUUUCUGCCUGUGUAUUUUUACUUUGUGCUUUUGUAAGCUGUGUGCUCUUAUUAAUUAAAACUUAUUGGGGUAAUAGGGUGGGGUCAGAUUUAUCUUUUUUUAGUCUUUUACAGAGCUACAAGUGAAAAGCUAUUUCCAGUUCCCUUAUUUGCCAUCUAUCAUUCACAAGAGACUGAAUUGCCAUCACCAUUUGUAACUAAUUUCAUUUAUUUAGGAAAACAACUUCAUAAGUACUUAUGUUGUAUUAUCAAGUAAAUGAUUUGAAGUGCUAGUAGUAAAAUAAGUCAGUGUUGCAUUUAUCCCUUUCUGUCUUUUUCUAUCUUUAAUCGCAAAGAAUUGAAAAUAAAUAUAUGCACUGAAAUUUGUUAAGUAAAGAUAUACUUCAAUUUAAGAUAUUAACAUAAUUGGGAGGGGGGAUUUUAUAUUUUUAAAGACUGUUGCAGAUAAAACCUGCUUAAAGUUGCUGAAACAUGGAAGAUACACAUCAAGAAUAAGAUGACGGACGUAUGUAGAGUCUGAAUUUUGUGUUGUAUGUUCUAUAAAAUUUCUUCUAUAGUUAAAAUUAAUUACACUUUAAAAAUAGUUGAAAUUGUAAGUGCUAAGUAAGUCUUAUAUUAAAAAGUAUUGAAGUAAAUUCUUUGAUAUUAGUAUAUGUAAAGUUUUAAUAACUUUAAAUAUCUUGGUCUUGUUUGUUUUUUUAGGGGGUGGGGCCUGGUAACAUUUUAAAGCAAUCUUUUCAGAUAAAAAUUAGACUUUUUUGUUUGUGAAAAUGCCUAUUAUCUGGAACAAGUGAUAAUAUGGCCAUGCUUUCAAGGCCAGUGUAAUGUACCAAGAUGAGCAGUAAUGUGAGUGUAGAUUUGUAUGGAGAAAGAAAUCUUAGUCAGUUAAAGAAUAAAUAUAUAGAAAUGUGAAAGGUAAAUAUAUGUAUUGCAAACCAAUAAUGAUUCAGAUAAGUUUGAAAUUACUAAGGUGCAUUUUAAAAACAUAAGUAUGGAAUUGGGUUAACUUUAUAUAACCACAAAUAUUACUACCUUGACUGUUGCUUACUAGAAUACUUUUCCCUUAAUGAUUUUUCUUAAGAUUGUUGUAUAUAGCUUUUAGCAUGAGAUUAGCAAUAUUUUGCAUUAGAGAAAUUUACAGCUUUUAAUCAACAGAAAAUUAUACAAUAUGAGCUUGACUUGAGCUUUCAUAAUUGCAGGUUUUAAGUGUGUGUUCACUGAAAAUUAUUUUAUUUUAUAAGAUGAAAGUAACUCUGAAUUUUAUUAGCAUUUCCUUGAUUUAUAGUUGUAUAAUAGCUAACAUUGUGUUCAAAUCUUGUUGGGAACUUGAUUGCCUUGAUUUGUUUUUAGGUGGAGUGGGGAGUGUUUUGUUUUUUCUUUCAGAACAUUUUUAACAGAAUGGUGUUCACCUUCAAACUAAUGAAAAAAUUGUUGUUUUUGAAAGAUGCCAGUCAAGGUAUAAAGUGCAAAUGUUAACAAUUGGCAAGUGGCCUUUGCUUUCAUAUGCUAUUUUUUUUAGUGUUUUCAACUAUAGCUUAAUUUAUAAAAAUUAGAAUAUCAUGCGUAAACUAUUGUUCAUUUUCUGCCUGUGUAUUUUUACUUUGUGUUUUUGUAAGCUAUUCUGUCUUAUUAAUCAAAACUUAUUGGGGGUAAUAGGGUGGGGUCUGAUUUCUUUUUUUUAGUCUUUUACAGGGCUAUGAGUAAAAAGGUAUUUCCAGUUCACUUAUUUGCCAUCUAUCAUUCACGAGAGACUGAAUUGCCAUCACCAUUUGUAACAAAUUCAUUUAUUUAGGAAAGCAACUUCAUUAUUUAUUUUAUCAAGUAAAUGAUUUGAAGUGCUAGUAGUAAAAUAAGUCAUGUGUUGCAGUUAUCCUUUUCUAUCUUAAAUCACAAAGAAUUGAAAAUAAAUAUAUGCACUGAAAUUUGUUAAGUAAAGAUAUACUUCAAUUUAAGAUGUUAACUUAAUUGGGAGGGGGGAUUUUAUAUUUUUAAAGACUGUUGCAGAUAAAACCUGCUUAAAGUUGCUGAAACAUGGAAGAUACACAUCAAGAAUAAGAUGACGGACGUAUGUAGAGUCUGAAUUUUGUGUUGUAUGUUCUAUAAAAUUUCUUCUAUAGUUGAAAUUAAUUACACUUUAAAAAUAGUUGAAAUUGUAAGUGCUAAGUAAGUCUUAUAUUAAAAAGUAUUGAAGUAAAUUCUUUGAUUUUAGUAUAUGUAAAGUUUUAAUAAGUUUAAAUAUCUUAGUCUUGUUUUUAGGGGGGUGGGACCUGGUAACAUUUUAAAGCAAUCUUUUCAGAUAAGAAAAAGUAGACUUUUUUGUUUGUGAAAACGCCUAUUAUCUGGAACAAGUGAUAAGAUGGCCAUGCUUUCAAGGCCAGUGUAAUGUUCCAAGAUGAGCAGUAAUGUGAGUGUAGAUUUGUAUGGAGAAAGAAAUCUUAGUCAGUUAAAGAAUAAAUAUAUAGAAAUGUGAAAGGUAAAUAUAUGUAUUGCAAACCAAGAAUGAUUCAGAUAAGUUUGAAAUUACUAAGGUGCAUUUUAAAAACAUUAGUAUGUAAUCGGGUUAACAUUAUUUAACUACAAAUAUUACUUACUACCUUAACUGUUGCUUACUAGAAUACUUUUCCCUUUAUGAUUUUUCUGAAGACUGUUGUAUAUAUAGCUUUGAGCAUUAGAUUGAAUAUUUUACAUAAGAGAAAUUUACAGCUUUUAAUCAACAGAAAAAAAAAAAUUAACAAUAUUGUACUUGCCUAUAAAUGUUUUGUUUGUUGGGAGAUGUAUAAUGUAGUUGUAGGUGUCGCCAAUUUUAGUUGAAUUGGAAGGAAAACCAUAUUUUUUUCCAAGAACAGAUUUCUUAUCCUCUGAAAGGUGUUAAUGAAAGAUUGAUGGAACAUCAUUGUUCAAACAGCAAGUAAAUUAUUUAUUCUCCAAAGAUAUCUUAUUUGUGAAUAUUUGACUGUAGUGAUACAUUGUGCAGAUAUUGCAUUCCUUUGUCAUUAAUUAUCAUAGUUUCAGGCUAGAUAAAUACUUUUAUUAAAAUACAUGUAUAGUUUAGUAAAAGUGUAUUGUUAAGUAAAAUAUACAGGGGAGGGGUGAGAAUUUGAGCUGCUUUAUAUUUUAGGCUUGAAGAAAGUUAAAGUCCUAAUGAAUGCUAUGAAGUGCUGUGAUACUGGAGAAUGUAUUUUGAAGUAAAAUAUGUGUAAAGAUAGUUGAUUUAUAUUUAUUUACAGUUGUUUAUUAGACUUCUAUUUGUCUUUAUAAUCUUACAUGCUUAUUUAUCCACUUUCAUAAUAUAUUUAUAAUGACUUGUUUUGGAAAUGUUUUGACUAUUAUGCUUUUGUCAUAAGGUCUGAAAGUUGGUUUCCUUUAUUCAGUUGUUAAAAUUGCUGCAUUUCUCUGUUGGUAUUGUUUGUUUGGAUGGUUGUUUCCUUGAAGCUCUAUUUCAGUUACGUAAGCAUGAACCAGCAUUAUUGGAAUUCUGCCUGGGAAGCCCCUUUAGCUGAUGAGCACUAGAUCACUUUACAGCUAGUACCAAGGAAAAAUAAGAUAGAUAUGCAAAGCAAGUGUAGUAUAUGGUCAUUUAAGGUCAUUUUGUUUUGGACUAUCAAAUCACCAAUAUGGUCAGGGGGAUGAGUAAACAUCCUUUAGCUGGACUUGAGCACUGGGAAAUCAUACCUCCCCCUCCCACGACGGAGUAGGGUUGGGUAGCCGGCUCGCAGCAUGAUUUUACCUGACCUUUAGACCACAAAAUUUUAAAUUCUAAAUUUCAAGUAUUAGGAUUUUCUGUUUUUGUAAAAUAUAUUAUCAGUUUCAUGAAAAAAGUUUAUUUUAAACCACAAUUGAAAAUUUCUUCAUUAAUGGCCAAAGACUGCCAAUUGGACCUUCCUUCAAAUUUGAGAUAAUGCUGUCCUCCAUACUGCUUGUAAAAAAAGUCAGAUGUUAAAAGGCUGCAAUCAGAAAAAAACUUGAAAUGGACAAAUAAAUACUGAAUGUCCUUAUUUUACUGUUCUUUUUAAUGUUGCAUUUACAAGCUUGAAAUGGUAUAUGGUCCAAUUUGCUAGUUGGCAGCCUAUAUUAAACAUAGAGAACAGAUACAAUUAUUUACAUUUGGUGUAAAUUUAAUAAUAAAAAUCUUAAAUAAACUUUGGUUUAACUUUA
This is a long non-coding RNA of Ruditapes philippinarum (Manila clam), 29714 nucleotides long. RefSeq lists it as uncharacterized. The record is from RefSeq and is a predicted model, not a curated record. The transcript has 2 exons. Lineage: Eukaryota; Metazoa; Mollusca; Bivalvia; Venerida; Veneridae.